This 216-nucleotide ribosomal RNA is filed under the name Glomeromycotina sp. RNAcentral describes it as "partial small subunit ribosomal RNA". The stretch from base 40 to 216 matches the Rfam family "Eukaryotic small subunit ribosomal RNA", at positions 686 to 864 of the family's 1831-position model. Lineage: Eukaryota; Fungi; Glomeromycota. The record is from RNAcentral.
GGGUCAGUAGGUUGGUCGUGCCACCGGUACGUACUGGUCUCACUGAUUCCUCUUUCCUGAAGAACCGUAAUGCCAUUAAUUUGGUGUUGCGGGGAAACAGGACUGUUACUUUGAAAAAAUUAGAGUGUUUAAAGCAAGCUAACGCUUGAAUACAUUAGCAUGGAAUAAUGAAAUAGGACGAUCGAUCCUAUUUUGUUGGUUCCUAGGAUUGACGUA